This 468-nucleotide ribosomal RNA is filed under the name uncultured bacterium. Its description in RNAcentral is "partial 16S ribosomal RNA". It matches the Rfam family "Bacterial small subunit ribosomal RNA", at positions 28 to 507 of the family's 1533-position model. The record is from RNAcentral.
GACGAACGCUGGCGGCGUGCUUAACACAUGCAAGUCGAACGGAAAGGCCCUGCUUUUGUGGGGUGCUCGAGUGGCGAACGGGUGAGUAACACGUGAGUAACCUGCCCUUGACUUUGGGAUAACUUCAGGAAACUGGGGCUAAUACCGGAUAGGAGCUCCUGCUGCAUGGUGGGGGUUGGAAAGUUUCGGCGGUUGGGGAUGGACUCGCGGCUUAUCAGCUUGUUGGUGGGGUAGUGGCUUACCAAGGGUUUGACGGGUAGCCGGCCUGAGAGGGUGACCGGCCACAUUGGGACUGAGAGACGGCCCAGACUCCUACGGGAGGCAGCAGUGGGGAAUAGUGCACAAUGGGCGGAAGCCUGAUGCAGCAACGCCGCGUGCGGGAUGACGGCCUUCGGGUUGUAAACCGCUUUCGCCUGUGACGAAGCGUGAGUGACGGUAAUGGGUAAAGAAGCACCGGCUAACUACGUG